CACGUAGGGCGCAAGCGUUGUCCGGAAUUAUUGGGCGUAAAGAGCGUGUAGGCGGCCUGAAAGGUCAGCUGUGAAAACUCGAGGCUCAACCUCGAGACGUCGGUUGAAACCAUCUGGCUAGAGUCCGGAAGAGGAGUGUGGAAUUCCCGGUGUAGCGGUGAAAUGCGCAGAUAUCGGGAAGAACACCCGUGGCGAAGGCGGCACUCUGGGACGGUACUGACGCUGAGACGCGAAAGCGUGGGGAGCGAACAGG
This 253-nucleotide ribosomal RNA is filed under the name uncultured bacterium. Its description in RNAcentral is "partial 16S ribosomal RNA". It matches the Rfam family "Bacterial small subunit ribosomal RNA", at positions 524 to 776 of the family's 1533-position model. The record is from RNAcentral.